AUGAACUUGGCUUCCACUUUGGGAAGAGAACCACCUUUUUCUAUACUUGCUUGCAUUUUUGCUUUAAUGUCUUCUACAGAACUAGGUCCUUUUGGUGUUUUAGGAGUUUUUUCCUGUUUUUUGAAGGAUUCUUGUCCUUUCUUCACUGGUGCUUUUUCUUCAGCUUCCUCAUCAUCAAAAUCAUCAUCAUCAUCAUCUUCAUCAUCUUCAUUAUCAUCUUCAUCAGCAGCAAGUUUUACUUUUUUCUGUGGAACCUUGCUACCACCUCCAGGGGCAGACCGCUUUCCAGAUAUACUUAAGAGUUUCACAUUCUCCUCCUCUUCAUCUUCUGACUCUGCAUCUUCCUCCACAGCUACUAAGUGCUGUCCACUAAUAUGCACUGGCCCUGAACCACACUUCAACCUUACGACCACUGGUGGUGUUAUUUCAAAGCCCCCAAGGGAAACCGUUGGCUGUACAGACAUUUUCAAAGUUGCCAGUGUUACUUUAAUUGGACUGCCUUCGUAAUUCAUUGCCUCUGCUUCAACAAUGUGCAAUUCAUCCUUUGCACCAGCCCCUAAACUGACCGUUCUUAAAGAUAACUGGUGCUCAUUUUCAUCAUUAUCCACCUUAAAGUGAUAAUCUUUGUCGGCCUUUAGUUCACAACCGAAAAGAUAGUUCUGGGGCCUCAGGGGGCUCAUGUCCAUGUCCAUCGAAUCUUCCAUCAGGUGGCGGCAUGCACUUAGGUGAGAGAGAAGGCGGAUGGAGAUAAACGAACGCUGCUCCAAAGAACAGCCGCGCAGGACGGAAUCACACCAGGGACUAUUUUUUUGUUUUAUUUUUGUAAGAAUUGUGCACCAUUUUGUACUCAAAUAUAAAUUGUAUUUUAUUUUAAAGUUGAUUUAAGUAACAACAAAAGUAAAUAAGUAAAUACAAAAUUUAAAACUUGAUAAUAUAAAGCAGUUUCUUCAUCCUAUUCAAUUGACUUCUCAAAGAAUGGAGAAUAAUUUCCUUAAGAAGAAACUCAUGUCCCAAUUCCUUCAUUUGUGUACAUCCUUUAGUGCAUCCUUUGUAUCAAUGCUAUAUGUUGUAUUAUGUGGUGAAAUAGACAAAGAUAAUUAUUGACCUUUAACAAAAGUUAAGACUGUAGUGAGGAAUUUGACAUUGUUUUGCGUAUGAGAGAGAUAAUUAGAGAAACCUGAAACUGACAUAUAUAAAAAAGAACUAUCUUAGAGCACUUGAAAAAAAAUUAGUAAUUCUGAUCUUGUCUUUAUUAAAAAUAUUGGUAUUUGGUUCAUUGUUUUUAAAACAUAUCUUAUAAUGUUACUUAUUCUGAAUAUUAGCUGUAUGUGUGUCUAUUCCCUUUGAUUUUGUGAUGCAAUUGGCUCAUUCAUGUCACAUUAGUCCAAGGAAGAAAGGAAAUGAAGGAGGAAGAGAGAAAGGGAGAAAAGAGAAAGAAAAAAGUUCAGAUGAAAUAAAUACAUAAACAGUUGUUACAGUGGGUUCAAUCAUGGCCCUUAAAAGAUACAUCCGAAUCAUCCUAUAUUCUGUAAAUAUGACCUUAUUUGGAAAAAGAGUCUUCGAAGACAUAAUUAAUUGAGGAUCAUGAGAUGAGGUCACCAUGGAUUAGCUGCAUCAGAUCUAAAUCCAAUGACAAGUGUUGUUAUAUGAGACACACAGAAAAGACACACACAAGUAAAGGAGGGGGAGGUUACGUGAAGAUGGAAGCAGAGUCUGGGACACUAGAAACCCUGAGAAUGUAGGCACAGUGUGAAAGCACUCUUCCCUAGGGCCUGUGGAGGGAAUGUGAGUCUCCAGAAAUGUAAAAGAAUACCUUCCUUUUGUUUUUAAGCCAUCAAGUUUUUGGUAAUUUGUUAAAGCAGCUAGAGGAAACGAAUACAGUAGUAAAGACGCAUUAAGUGCUAUGUGACAUGGCAUAUAAAGCAACCAAUUUUGCUGAAGAGCUGAGAUAUGCAUAGUAGUAAUGAAAAAAAGAGGCCACCAAGGUGGAUCUUCAAGGAUCAUUUUAAGUGGUGAUGUUGGCUUAGCUCAUAAUGUGACAAAAUUCAAAGGUUUGAGAACUGGUCAGAUUUUGGACCUAGUUUGGGAAUAGAGGUGUAAAUAGUAGAUGGCAGACUAAUGGACAUAUAAUGUUGUCUUAGUCCAUUUGUCUUGCUACAACAAAAUACCGGAGACCAGGUAAUUUAUAAAUAAUAUAAAUUUAUUUCUCACAGUUACGGAAUAUGGAAAGUGCAUGAUCAAGGUGCCUACAUUUAAUCUGGUAAGGACCUUCUUGCUGUGUCCUCACAUGGCAGAAGACAGAAGGGCAAGCUAGCCAAAUAAUGUGUGAAAUCCCUCUUACAAGGGCCUUAGUUCACAAGGGAGGAAUCCUCACAGCCCAAUCACCUUUUAAAGGCCCUAUGUUUUAACACUAUCAAAAUCACAACAUCUGAAUUUUAAAUAGAACAUAUUCAAGCCACAGCAGAGGUGAAAAUUUAACAAGAAUGAUUACAACUACUUGGGUUUACACACUACAGAAAGAGUUUCAAUUGCAGAGAAAUAGAAACUUGCAUUAGAAGUUAAAUUUUGGACACACUAAGUUUAAAAAGUUUAGUGGACACCUAAGUCAUGUUGAAAUAGGUAGUUGGGUAUGAAUCUAAUGAUCAGAGAGGAACAUUUGGGUAUUUAAUUUUUAUUUAUUCGGCAAAAUGGUAAAAUAAGCACAUUAGGAAUAUGCACUAUAAUUACUGAUUUCCACAAUAUGACAUGGCAGAAUUUAUAAUUUGUAUAAGCAGUCUGCAUCACAAUCUAUGAGGUUAAUGUGUUUCAUUACAUAACUAUUAAUAUUGUAAACAUAUGACUGCAGUAAAAUUAUAAAAUUUACAAUUAUGAUAAUUUCAAUAUUAAUUUCUAUGUGCAAUGAUUAUUUUUAAACAGAUAAAAG
Molecule: long non-coding RNA, 2923 nt
Organism: Macaca mulatta (Rhesus monkey)
Lineage: Eukaryota; Metazoa; Chordata; Mammalia; Primates; Cercopithecidae
Source: Ensembl